UUUUCCUACGGGACGCAGCAGUGAGGAAUAUUGGUCAAUGGUCGGGAGACUGAACCAGCCAAGCCGCGUGAGGGAUGAAGGUACAGAGUAUCGUAAACCCCUUUUGUCAGGGAACAAAGGCGGGGACGCGUCCCCGGAUGAGUGUACCUGAAGAAAAAGCAUCGGCUAACUCCGUGCCAGCAGCCGCGGUAAUACGGAGGAUGCGAGCGUUAUCCGGAUUUAUCGGGUUUAAAGGGUGCGCAGGCGGUCUGUUAAGUCAGCGGUCAAAGCCCGGGGCGCAACCCCGGCCCGCCGUUGAAACUGGG
This 305-nucleotide ribosomal RNA is filed under the name uncultured bacterium. RNAcentral's name for it is "bacterial SSU rRNA". It matches the Rfam family "Bacterial small subunit ribosomal RNA", at positions 334 to 637 of the family's 1533-position model. The record is from RNAcentral.